GACGAACGCUGGCGGCGUGCUUAACACAUGCAAGUCGAGCGGUAAGGCCCUUUCGGGGGUACGACGAGCGGCGAACGGGUGAGUAACACGUGGGUGACCUGCCCUCCAGCUCUGGGAUAAGCCUGGGAAACCGGGUCUAAUACUGGAUAUGACUCCAUGACGCAUGUUGUGGGGUGGAAAGCCUUGUGCGGCUGAGGAUGGGCCCGCGGCCUAUCAGCUUGUUGGUGGGGUGAUGG
RNAcentral lists this ribosomal RNA (236 nucleotides) under uncultured bacterium. Its description in RNAcentral is "partial 16S ribosomal RNA". It matches the Rfam family "Bacterial small subunit ribosomal RNA", at positions 28 to 263 of the family's 1533-position model. The record is from RNAcentral.